UAUAAACCAUUUGGGUAUUUUUGCUAUGUUUAACAAACUGGAGUACUUGACUUAUUUUUAAAAAAAUGGGUGAAUACAGAAACUAAAGAAAAAUCUCAUCACAUGGUAACUGGCCAUGCCUGAUGCAUCGCGGUACAGAAAAAGCAUUUCUGCAAAGAGUCCCAAACAUUCAGCAACUGUGAUAGAAAGUGUCUGUGGGCUCAUCGUUAGUCUAUCUCUGGGUUCAAUCUUGAGAGCUAGUGAUUGGUGGCAGGGACCAAUCCUGCUUUGAGGGAAACCAGUGUUUGGUGGAUCUAUAGAAGGGUCUCUGUCAGUUGCUACUGGGUUGUGUAAUCUGGAGUCAUUGAGAGCAGCCCCUCAUGCAUUAAAGCCUCAUGCAACCGUA
Long non-coding RNA from Bufo bufo (common toad), 385 nucleotides. RefSeq lists it as uncharacterized. The record is from RefSeq and is a predicted model, not a curated record. The transcript is spliced from 2 exons. NCBI's taxonomy places the organism in Eukaryota, Metazoa, Chordata, Amphibia, Anura, Bufonidae.